AUUGAACGCUGGCGGCAUGCCUUACACAUGCAAGUCGAACGGCAGCACGGGGGCAACCCUGGUGGCGAGUGGCGAACGGGUGAGUAAUACAUCGGAACGUGCCCUGAAGUGGGGGGAUAACGUAGCGAAAGUUACGCUAAUACCGCAUAUUCUGUGAGCAGGAAAGCAGGGGAUCGCAAGACCUUGUGCUUUAGGAGCGGCCGAUGUCGGAUUAGCUAGUUGGUGAGGUAAAGGCUCACCAAGGCGACGAUCCGUAGCGGGUCUGAGAGGAUGAUCCGCCACACUGGGACUGAGACACGGCCCAGACUCCUACGGGAGGCAGCAGUGGGGGAAUUUUGGACAAUGGGCGCAAGCCUGAUCCAGCCAUGCCGCGUGAGUGAAGAAGGCCUUCGGG
This 394-nucleotide ribosomal RNA is filed under the name uncultured bacterium. RNAcentral describes it as "bacterial SSU rRNA". It matches the Rfam family "Bacterial small subunit ribosomal RNA", at positions 29 to 422 of the family's 1533-position model. The record is from RNAcentral.